This 465-nucleotide ribosomal RNA is filed under the name uncultured bacterium. RNAcentral describes it as "partial 16S ribosomal RNA". It matches the Rfam family "Bacterial small subunit ribosomal RNA", at positions 338 to 795 of the family's 1533-position model. The record is from RNAcentral.
CCUACGGGAGGCAGCAGUAGGGAAUCUUCCACAAUGGGCGAAAGCCUGAUGGAGCAACGCCGCGUGGGUGAAGAAGGUCUUCGGAUCGUAAAACCCUGUUGUUAGAGAAGAAAGUGCGUGAGAGUAACUGUUCACGUUUCGACGGUAUCUACCCAGAAAGCCCCGGCUAACUACGUGCCAGCAGCCGCGGUAAUACGUAGGUGGCAAGCGUUAUCCGGAUUUAUUGGGCGUAAAGGGAACGCAGGCGGUCUUUUAAGUCUGAUGUGAAAGCCUUCGGCUUAACCGGGGUAGUGCAUUGGAAACUGGGAGACUUGAGUGCAGAAGAGGAGAGUGGAACUCCAUGUGUAGCGGUGAAAUGCGUAGAGAUAUGGAAGAACACCAGUGGCGAAGGCGACUCUCUGGACUGUAACUGACGCUGAGGUUCGAAAGCGUGGGUAGCAAACAGGAUUAGAUACCCUAGUAGUC